GGCUCGAUAGCUCAGUUGGUAGAGCAGAGGACUNAAAAUCCUUGUGUCGGUGGUUCGAUNCCGCCUCGAGCCACAA
Molecule: transfer RNA, 76 nt
Filed under: Fidelibacterota bacterium
Lineage: Bacteria; Pseudomonadati; Fidelibacterota
Description: tRNA-OTHER
Rfam family: tRNA
About the family: Transfer RNA (tRNA) molecules are approximately 80 nucleotides in length. Their secondary structure includes four short double-helical elements and three loops (D, anti-codon, and T loops).
Source: RNAcentral